CGCGGAGUGGAGCAGUCUGGUAGCUCGUCGGGCUCAUAACCCGAAGGUCGUGUGGUUCGAAUCCCGCCUCCGCAACCA
This 78-nucleotide transfer RNA is filed under the name Clostridiaceae bacterium. RNAcentral's name for it is "tRNA-Met". It matches the Rfam family "tRNA". Rfam says of the family: Transfer RNA (tRNA) molecules are approximately 80 nucleotides in length. The record is from RNAcentral. Lineage: Bacteria; Bacillati; Bacillota; Clostridia; Eubacteriales; Clostridiaceae.